CCUCAAGCAUAGCUUGGUAUUGGACUUUCGCGGGCCUUCUUAUAGGGUGGAGCUCGCGGGUCCGAAAAGCAGUGGCGGUCCCGAGGAUUUCGCGCGUAGUAAAUAUUAUCCCGCGUUGGAAAGAAUCGGUGGGCUUGCCAAAACCCCCCAUAAUCUCCACGAUUGACCUCGGAUCAGGUAGGGAUACCCGCUGAACUUAA
RNAcentral lists this unclassified non-coding RNA (200 nucleotides) under soil metagenome. Its description in RNAcentral is "partial contains internal transcribed spacer 2 and large subunit ribosomal RNA". The record is from RNAcentral.